GAUGAACGCUGGCGGCGUGCUUAACACAUGCAAGUCGAACGAGAAGUGGAGACGGAAACCUUCGGGCGGAAGACUUUAUUUCGAGUGGCGGACGGGUGAGUAACGCGUGGGUAACUUGCCUCAUACAGGGGGAUAACAGUUGGAAACGACUGUUAAUACCGCAUAAGACCACAGCACCGCAUGGUGCGGGGGUAAAAACUCCGGUGGUAUGAGAUGGACCCGCGUUCGAUUAGCCAGUUGGCGGGGUAACGGCCCACCAAAGCGACGAUCGAUAGCCGAUCUGAGAGGAUGACCGGCCACAUUGGGACUGAGACACGGCCCAAACUCCUACGGGAGGCAGCAGUGGGGAAUAUUGCACAAUGGGGGAAACCCUGAUGCAGCGACGCCGCGUGAGUGAAGAAGUAUUUCGGUAUGUAAAGCUCUAUCAGCAGGGAAGAAAAUGACGGUACCUGAGUAAGAAGCCCCGGCUAACUACGUG
Molecule: ribosomal RNA, 478 nt
Filed under: uncultured bacterium
Lineage: Bacteria
Description: partial 16S ribosomal RNA
Rfam family: Bacterial small subunit ribosomal RNA
Source: RNAcentral